CGGGUAGAGUAACACGUGGGCAAUCUGCCCUCAAGUAGGGAAUAACGCUGCGAAAGCAGUGCUAAUACCGCAUACCCUCUGCAAAGAGGAAAGCGAAAGCGCUUGAGGAGGAGCCCGCGGCUGAUUAGCUAGAUGGUGGGGUAACGGCCUACCAUGGCGAUGAUCAGUAGCCGGCCUGAGAGGGCGGACGGCCACACUGGGACUGAGACACGGCCCAG
RNAcentral lists this ribosomal RNA (218 nucleotides) under uncultured bacterium. RNAcentral describes it as "partial 16S ribosomal RNA". It matches the Rfam family "Bacterial small subunit ribosomal RNA", at positions 103 to 334 of the family's 1533-position model. The record is from RNAcentral.